This 2233-nucleotide long non-coding RNA is filed under the name Equus caballus (horse). RNAcentral's name for it is "lncRNA (ENSECAG00000054847.1)". The record is from RNAcentral. Lineage: Eukaryota; Metazoa; Chordata; Mammalia; Perissodactyla; Equidae.
CAUGGGAGUUAGGGCUGUGAUGGAUAAAGGCCUCCUUUGAUUGCUGUGGGCAGAGACAUGGAAAUUCCUCCAUCUUCUCAGAAGUGACGAGAUCAGAAGAGUCACUGAGGGUCCACUGCUGAGCUGCACAGAUGCUGAGCUUUCACCAGAAAGAAAUAAAGGGACCAAGUGUAGCCUGUAUUCAGCCCGAAGAAUCCUUGUGCACUGCUGUUAAGAAAUCUAGACCAUCAGAGGUUUGAGCGGGCGGCGUGGAAGCCUGGGCUUCCGGGCCCUGGGAACAGGCGUUCUUGGGUGAAUUGCAGCCCAGGCUCUGUUCUUGGUUCCAAGCACAGCAUCCCCCAGCUGGUCCCUGAGGUUGGGACGCUCGCUCUUGGGGCAGGACUUUGCCAUCAGAUGUCAAUUAUCUGCCAUCUGUUCUGAGCAGCCCACUGGAGAACUUUUCCACCCGGAACGGCUGUGGCCUUCUCCUGUCAUCGUUCCCCGGAUUUUCCUGGCAACCCUCUCACCCAGCCGCAUUUGUAGCUCCGUGGGGGAAGAACAGGGAAAUUUCGCACACUUUCCUUUGAAUAGAACUGAAACGUGGAAUAAUGCAAGAACCAAGAGGAGCAGAGCCGCGCUGUUCCCUCAGCAACCACUGGCUGUCAUGGCCACAUCCGCCUGAGAACACAGACCACCACAGACUCUCGGGGUCUCAGUAGGUGGUGGAGGCUGGGGUGUGCAUCUUCAUCGCCUGGCCUCUCACCCCAAUGAGCAUCUCUCUCUGACUGAUGGCCCUUUAAGCUAUUAUUAAGUAUCACACCUCGACUCUUAACCGAUGAGAGUUGAAGAGGUGGAUCAAAGCCAGUGGCAGUGUGCUGUAGCCAUAGAAAGAAAAUAAGAAAAGGCCAACUUUAAAGCAUGAAGUUUGACUACGAACCUGACACACGCCCCCACAACUGCCUGCACCGCCCACUCCCUAACAGUCAGACCUGGGGGAAGGUUACCACAACAGCUGCGAAAUGACAGUUCUCCAGCUCCUUUGUGUGUGGGGCCCGGGUGACCCACUAGGGCUUCUGGAAUAAAGAAGUGAUGCUUCCAGGGAGUGCGGGAACGAGAAGAGUGGCCCGCGUGGGCGUGGGAGCCGGGCUUGGGCUCUUGAGUUGAAUUUAUAUCCUCCAUCUGCAAUUAGCCCAUUGCCCCUUCUGAGAACAUGAAUAGUUCCCGCUGCUGUUAAUGGGAAUGCUGUUCUCACCCCAACGGGAGGAAAAACGCCCAGAAACAUGUUUAAUGGAUUUUUUUUUGGAUACUUAAAAACAUUGCAGUGAUUUUCUAGUUCCAAAAAGGACAUGUUGAUAACUUUUCCAUAUGGCAGUUUUCUGUGAUGAUUAUUAGUGGCUUGGCAAUUUUUAAUAUUAAAUUCCUAACCGUAAGCAGAAUUUCGUCCAAUUUUCAAUCCAUAAGACAGUUAAGUUUUCAGGGUUUUCAGGGAGGAAGUCAUCCUUUCUUUUCUAUUGAUUCAUGUCAAAAAGACACCUCUCUGUCCCCAAACCCACGGUCGUCUCAUCUUUUCAUAGGUGGCUUCAGGCUCAUGAAAGACCUGGGGUAUGGACGCAAAGACCCCGAAUGGGCGCCUCGUUCUUAUGGGUCCAGACUCAGGCACUGAGUCUCCCCAGGCUGCCUUUUCCAAUUCCAGUAACAUUCUGUGCGUCAGCGUUGCCAGGGUAGACGCAGCCAGGCCCAGGAUAGAAACCCUUUUUUCCGUGCAGGGAUGACUCUCCUGCAAGCAGGCCCACUUCCCUGCCCAACGACAGGCUGUCUCACACAACUUACAAAUUCAAAACGCCUUCCUAAAAAUAUCAGAGAAGAAUCUUACAAAAUUAUCUAGUGUCACUUGUUUUUACCCCACAUGGGUGGUAUUCACAGCAGAAGAAAUUACAUUUAUGUACUUAGUAGAAGUAAUGAAGAUAAUCAUUAGAAUGGUAUUUGCUCUGGAAAUAACCCAAAUAUGGGUGAUGUCUGACAUGAGAGCCUGAAAUGAUCUGCAGCCCCCUCCCCAUUAGAAUUGUGAAUUUCCACCUGUAAAAGGCAGUGAAGGUGUGCAUGGCAAGCCUGAAUGACUACCUAAUGUAAAAGAUAAAUGAAAACCAGCCUCUUCAGAUGCCACUUUUGUGCCAUCCUUUAUGUUUGUGAUUUUUUUCUUUUCUACUUGCCUCUGUAAAUUAAACUAUUUUCAACUUGUAGGGCUGAGGCAAAA